GGGUUGUGAGGUUAAGCGACUAAGCGUACACGGUGGAUGCCCUGGCAGUCAGAGGCGAUGAAGGACGUGCUAAUCUGCGAUAAGCGUCGGUAAGGUGAUAUGAACCGUUAUAACCGGCGAUUUCCGAAUGGGGAAACCCAGUGUGAUUCGUCACACUAUCAUUAACUGAAUCCAUAGGUUAAUGAGGCGAACCGGGGGAACUGAAACAUCUAAGUACCCCGAGGAAAAGAAAUCAACCGAGAUUCCCCCAGUAGCGGCGAGCGAACGGGGAGCAGCCCAGAGCCUGAAUCAGUGUGUGUGUUAGUGGAAGCGUCUGGAAAGGCGUGCGAUACAGGGUGACAGCCCCGUACACAAAAAUGCACAUGCUGUGAGCUCGAUGAGUAGGGCGGGACACGUGGUAUCCUGUCUGAAUAUGGGGGGACCAUCCUCCAAGGCUAAAUACUCCUGACUGACCGAUAGUGAACCAGUACCGUGAGGGAAAGGCGAAAAGAACCCCGGCGAGGGGAGUGAAAAAGAACCUGAAACCGUGUACGUACAAGCAGUGGGAGCACAGAGCAAUCUGUGUGACUGCGUACCUUUUGUAUAAUGGGUCAGCGACUUAUAUUCUGUAGCAAGGUUAACCGAAUAGGGGAGCCGAAGGGAAACCGAGUCUUAACUGGGCGUUAAGUUGCAGGGUAUAGACCCGAAACCCGGUGAUCUAGCCAUGGGCAGGUUGAAGGUUGGGUAACACUAACUGGAGGACCGAACCGACUAAUGUUGAAAAAUUAGCGGAUGACUUGUGGCUGGGGGUGAAAGGCCAAUCAAACCGGGAGAUAGCUGGUUCUCCCCGAAAGCUAUUUAGGUAGCGCCUCGUGAAUUCAUCUCCGGGGGUAGAGCACUGUUUCGGCAAGGGGGUCAUCCCGACUUACCAACCCGAUGCAAACUGCGAAUACCGGAGAAUGUUAUCACGGGAGACACACGGCGGGUGCUAACGUCCGUCGUGAAGAGGGAAACAACCCAGACCGCCAGCUAAGGUCCCAAAGUCAUGGUUAAGUGGGAAACGAUGUGGGAAGGCCCAGACAGCCAGGAUGUUGGCUUAGAAGCAGCCAUCAUUUAAAGAAAGCGUAAUAGCUCACUGGUCGAGUCGGCCUGCGCGGAAGAUGUAACGGGGCUAAACCAUGCACCGAAGCUGCGGCAGCGACACUUAUGUGUUGUUGGGUAGGGGAGCGUUCUGUAAGCCUGUGAAGGUGUACUGUGAGGUAUGCUGGAGGUAUCAGAAGUGCGAAUGCUGACAUAAGUAACGAUAAAGCGGGUGAAAAGCCCGCUCGCCGGAAGACCAAGGGUUCCUGUCCAACGUUAAUCGGGGCAGGGUGAGUCGACCCCUAAGGCGAGGCCGAAAGGCGUAGUCGAUGGGAAACAGGUUAAUAUUCCUGUACUUGGUGUUACUGCGAAGGGGGGACGGAGAAGGCUAUGUUGGCCGGGCGACGGUUGUCCCGGUUUAAGCGUGUAGGCUGGUUUUCCAGGCAAAUCCGGAAAAUCAAGGCUGAGGCGUGAUGACGAGGCACUACGGUGCUGAAGCAACAAAUGCCCUGCUUCCAGGAAAAGCCUCUAAGCAUCAGGUAACAUCAAAUCGUACCCCAAACCGACACAGGUGGUCAGGUAGAGAAUACCAAGGCGCUUGAGAGAACUCGGGUGAAGGAACUAGGCAAAAUGGUGCCGUAACUUCGGGAGAAGGCACGCUGAUAUGUAGGUGAAGUCCCUCGCGGAUGGAGCUGAAAUCAGUCGAAGAUACCAGCUGGCUGCAACUGUUUAUUAAAAACACAGCACUGUGCAAACACGAAAGUGGACGUAUACGGUGUGACGCCUGCCCGGUGCCGGAAGGUUAAUUGAUGGGGUUAGCGCAAGCGAAGCUCUUGAUCGAAGCCCCGGUAAACGGCGGCCGUAACUAUAACGGUCCUAAGGUAGCGAAAUUCCUUGUCGGGUAAGUUCCGACCUGCACGAAUGGCGUAAUGAUGGCCAGGCUGUCUCCACCCGAGACUCAGUGAAAUUGAACUCGCUGUGAAGAUGCAGUGUACCCGCGGCAAGACGGAAAGACCCCGUGAACCUUUACUAUAGCUUGACACUGAACAUUGAGCCUUGAUGUGUAGGAUAGGUGGGAGGCUUUGAAGUGUGGACGCCAGUCUGCAUGGAGCCGACCUUGAAAUACCACCCUUUAAUGUUUGAUGUUCUAACGUUGACCCGUAAUCCGGGUUGCGGACAGUGUCUGGUGGGUAGUUUGACUGGGGCGGUCUCCUCCUAAAGAGUAACGGAGGAGCACGAAGGUUGGCUAAUCCUGGUCGGACAUCAGGAGGUUAGUGCAAUGGCAUAAGCCAGCUUGACUGCGAGCGUGACGGCGCGAGCAGGUGCGAAAGCAGGUCAUAGUGAUCCGGUGGUUCUGAAUGGAAGGGCCAUCGCUCAACGGAUAAAAGGUACUCCGGGGAUAACAGGCUGAUACCGCCCAAGAGUUCAUAUCGACGGCGGUGUUUGGCACCUCGAUGUCGGCUCAUCACAUCCUGGGGCUGAAGUAGGUCCCAAGGGUAUGGCUGUUCGCCAUUUAAAGUGGUACGCGAGCUGGGUUUAGAACGUCGUGAGACAGUUCGGUCCCUAUCUGCCGUGGGCGCUGGAGAACUGAGGGGGGCUGCUCCUAGUACGAGAGGACCGGAGUGGACGCAUCACUGGUGUUCGGGUUGUCAUGCCAAUGGCACUGCCCGGUAGCUAAAUGCGGAAGAGAUAAGUGCUGAAAGCAUCUAAGCACGAAACUUGCCCCGAGAUGAGUUCUCCCUGACUCCUUGAGAGUCCUGAAGGAACGUUGAAGACGACGACGUUGAUAGGCCGGGUGUGUAAGCGCAGCGAUGCGUUGAGCUAACCGGUACUAAUGAACCGUGAGGCUUAACCUUACAACGCCGAAGGUGUUU
RNAcentral lists this ribosomal RNA (2933 nucleotides) under Escherichia coli. Its description in RNAcentral is "23S ribosomal RNA". It matches the Rfam family "Bacterial large subunit ribosomal RNA". The record is from RNAcentral. Lineage: Bacteria; Pseudomonadati; Pseudomonadota; Gammaproteobacteria; Enterobacterales; Enterobacteriaceae.